RNAcentral lists this unclassified non-coding RNA (369 nucleotides) under Hevea brasiliensis (rubber tree). Lineage: Eukaryota; Viridiplantae; Streptophyta; Magnoliopsida; Malpighiales; Euphorbiaceae. The record is from RNAcentral.
GGAGAUCUUAAUUGAUCUUUGACGAAUUGUCGAAGUUUUCUUUUCCUCCAUGAAAUGUCACUAUCAGAAAGAGUCAUCGCCUCUCGCACUUUUAGCAUCUGAUUCCAUAAUGGCGUUGCUUUCUGAUGUGUUACGGAAUCACAAGGAUCCAGAGCAAGUCUUUUCAACCGUGCCAGCACUUCUGCAUCAGAAUACCUCCCAAACACCAACUUCCCUUGUUCUUCAGUUACACUUCCUCCCUCCUUCUUCAAACCCCCCAAUGCAGUCAUAUUUCAACUUACACCAACUGCUGUUUUCCUAAUUUCAACCAUGAUCAAAAUUGGCAGACGCCGGAGCGGCAAUUCCACCGGAAAAAGGAUAAACCCUAAC